This 480-nucleotide ribosomal RNA is filed under the name Triticum aestivum (bread wheat). RNAcentral describes it as "partial small subunit ribosomal RNA". The record is from RNAcentral. Lineage: Eukaryota; Viridiplantae; Streptophyta; Magnoliopsida; Poales; Poaceae.
AUGGCUAGGAUUAGCUAUGGUGUCAUAUCCAUGAUCCCCAAAGUAGUUGGGGCGACGGAUAUUUGGCACUUCCACCCCAUCACGGUGAUCAACAUGUUGGAGCGAAUCUUUGCGAAGGUUUGCGCAACUCGCUUAUCCCUGGUGGCGAAAAGGAUUGCCCACCCCCUCCAGUCCGCGUUCCUGAAGGGCCGGCGGAUCCAUUACGGUAUCCUCGCCCUUCACGAGAUCGUCCACGAGGUGGCGUCGAAGGGGCUUACGGGGGUCUUCCUCAAAUUGGACUUUCAGAAGGCGUAUGACCGGCUGGAUUGGUCCUUUUUGAGGUUGGUGAUGGAACGACGCGACUUUGACGAGAGGUGGUGUUCCUGGAUCAUGCAACUGGUUAGAGGGACAAGUGUAUCCGCACUAUUGCUAGGGACAAGUGUAUAUGAGGGUCUGCUGGCAGCAACUUUGCUUUUUCGCCAAGUGUUGUCAUUACUUUAG